This 253-nucleotide ribosomal RNA is filed under the name uncultured bacterium. RNAcentral's name for it is "partial 16S ribosomal RNA". It matches the Rfam family "Bacterial small subunit ribosomal RNA", at positions 524 to 776 of the family's 1533-position model. The record is from RNAcentral.
UACGUAGGGGGCAAGCGUUGUCCGGAUUUAUUGGGCGUAAAGAGCGUGUAGGCGGCUAGAUAGGUCCGUUGUGAAAACUCGAGGCUCAACCUCGAGACGCCGGUGGAAACCAUCUAGCUAGAGUCCGGAAGAGGAGGGUGGAAUUCCUGGUGUAGCGGUGAAAUGCGCAGAUAUCAGGAAGAACACCCGUGGCGAAGGCGGCUCUCUGGUACGUGACUGACGCUGAGACGCGAAAGCGUGGGGAGCGAACAGG